Molecule: long non-coding RNA, 291 nt
Filed under: Mytilus galloprovincialis (Mediterranean mussel)
Lineage: Eukaryota; Metazoa; Mollusca; Bivalvia; Mytilida; Mytilidae
Source: RNAcentral
CAUAAAUAGAAAAGAAAAUUUCUUCAAACAUUUUUUUGAGAGGAUUAAUAUUCAACAGCAUAGUGAAUUGCUCUAAGAGAAAACAAAAAUUUUAAGUUCAUUAGAACACAUUCAUUCUGUGUCAGAAACCUAUGCUGUGUCAACUAUUUAAUCACAAUCCAAAUUUAGAGCUGAAUCCAGCUUGAAUGUUGUGUCCAUACUUGCCCAAACCGUUCAGGGUUCAACCUCUGCGGUCGUAUAAAGCUACGCCCUGCGGAGCAUCUGGUUGUUUUUUGAAUUCUAUUGUAUUUA